RNAcentral lists this ribosomal RNA (194 nucleotides) under uncultured bacterium. RNAcentral describes it as "partial 16S ribosomal RNA". It matches the Rfam family "Bacterial small subunit ribosomal RNA", at positions 338 to 524 of the family's 1533-position model. The record is from RNAcentral.
CCUACGGGAGGCAGCAGUGGGGAAUAUUGCGCAAUGGGCGAAAGCCUGACGCAGCGACGCCGCGUGAGGGAUGAAGGUUUUCGGAUCGUAAACCUCUGUCAGAAGGGAAGAAACUACAUUGUGCUAAUCAGCAGUGUACUGACGGUACCUUCAAAGGAAGCACCGGCUAACUCCGUGCCAGCAGCCGCGGUAAU